RNAcentral lists this ribosomal RNA (483 nucleotides) under uncultured bacterium. Its description in RNAcentral is "partial 16S ribosomal RNA". It matches the Rfam family "Bacterial small subunit ribosomal RNA", at positions 30 to 507 of the family's 1533-position model. The record is from RNAcentral.
UUGAACGCUGGCGGCAGGCCUAACACCUGCAAGUCGCGCGGAUGAAGGGAGCUUGCUCCUGGAUUCAGCGGCGGACGGGUGAGUAAUGCCUAGGAAUCUGCCUGGUAGUGGGGGAUAACGUCCGGAAACGGGCGCUAAUACCGCAUACGUCCUGAGGGAGAAAGUGGGGGAUCUUCGGACCUCACGCUAUCAGAUGAGCCUAGGUCGGAUUAGCUAGUUGGUGGGGUAAAGGCCUACCAAGGCGACGAUCCGUAACUGGUCUGAGAGGAUGAUCAGUCACACUGGAACUGAGACACGGUCCAGACUCCUACGGGAGGCAGCAGUGGGGAAUAUUGGACAAUGGGCGAAAGCCUGAUCCAGCCAUGCCGCGUGUGUGAAGAAGGUCCUCGGAUUGUAAAGCACUUUAAGUUGGGAGGAAGGGCAGUAAGUUAAUACCUUGCUGUUUUGACGUUACCAACAGAAUAAGCACCGGCUAACUUCGUG